UUCUCCAAGUUCCCUGGCUGGGGAGCAGGAAGGGGUAGGGAGUUUCCAGAAUGUCUCCGUAGAACUCCUGGGGGAGUCUUGGCAACUGGAAAUUGUCAGUCGUCUCCUUGACAACCAGCAGCCAAAUAAUUCUGGGAAUGGAGUGGGGAGGAGAGCUCUCUGCAGGGUGGCCAAGAGAAGCAGCUCUCAGCCCCCAGAAAACUCCGAUCCCCCAUUACCUGCGUCAGGCGGGGGCCCAUCAGGAGACCAAAACCACACAAGUUAGUUGAAAAAAGGAUAAAGAAUUGAUAACUAGACAUAACGCUGCUCACGAGGUAACGAAAGGGCGACAAGAGAACUGCUCAGGUGUCACGGAGGUCUCAGCAGUGGCCGGAGGGCCUGCCACCGCCUGGGCUGGGGAAACCAGAGGAAGAGGCUGCAGUCGCUAACCCUUAGACAUUUUGAGGAGGGACCCAGAGCCCUGGGGUGGGGGGGAAGACUUUCAGCCGGAAGGAAGGAAGGACAGACCCCCGGGCUUGCGCCCAGACCUCUGAGGAAGAGGCACCUGCCUGUGAGGGCCGGGUCUCUGGAGCUGGCGUGUGGGGUGCGUAGCGUAUGGUGAGGCUUGAAGUACUAGAGACAUGGCAAGCUGGAUUCAGCUGCUGCUCCAGGAUGGGCCUGCUGCAGGGUGAGGGGGGAAGGUUGGGUGCCUCUGGCAGGGAACACACGGACACAAACGGGAAGGCAGGCGGUCACCCUUCCUCCUCCAGCCUGCAGCCUCCCCUCCGGUGGCUCUGGUCACAAGGAUCCAACAGGGAACCGCUGGCCAAGCAGAGACGGGACUCACAGGGCCCGAGGCCACCUUCACAAAGCAGUGUACAGAGGACGGGGCUGGGGCUGAGAAGCCAGACAUUUCAAGUAUUCGUCACCGCAAGGUGGGGAAGUUCUGGUCUUCCAGCCCCGGCUUUACUGAAAAGAGCAGUGCCGAGCACACGGGAGAUCUGAUAUCGUCUGGCCUCUGCUGUGGUUGAUUCCUGAGAGUGCACAUGGGCAGGCCUUCCCGACUUACUCUGGCUUGUCUUGAAAAGUUCCCGACGUUCCCAGGCUCUGACAGCUGUGAGGAAUUUGUAUAACCGUAAUGAUGAAAACAACAGUAAUGAAGAAAUAUUUAGAAAAUGAAUGAAGAAAAGGAAGGAAGGAAGGAAGGAAGGAAGGAAGAAAGGGAGCGAGGGAAGAAAGAAAGAAAGAAAGAAAUGAAGGGAGGGAAGAAGGAAGGAAAGAAGGAAAGAAGGAAGGAAGGGAAGAAACAAGAAAGAGAAAGGCAGCAAACUCCAGCAUUCAAGGAUAUGCGUUAAAAAAUUUCAAAGCUUUUUUUUUUUGCAGCGACAAAAGUACAGUACGGGUAAUCGUUGAAUGAUACACAUAGGUCCAUAUACCGUAAUGUUCUGCAACUAUUAAAAAGAGUAAAUUACAAAAAGACAAA
Molecule: long non-coding RNA, 1462 nt
Organism: Neofelis nebulosa (Clouded leopard)
Lineage: Eukaryota; Metazoa; Chordata; Mammalia; Carnivora; Felidae
Exons: 2
Source: RefSeq, a predicted model, not a curated record